RNAcentral lists this long non-coding RNA (1045 nucleotides) under Bemisia tabaci. RNAcentral describes it as "lncRNA ENSSSA2NGG002787". The record is from RNAcentral. Lineage: Eukaryota; Metazoa; Arthropoda; Insecta; Hemiptera; Aleyrodidae.
UGUAUCAGAAUGCUUAAAUUCGUACCUCGUCUAGUGGUCCAUUGUAUUCUACGUGAGACUAUAACUAAGAAAAAUGUAUCAGAAUGCUCAAAUGCAUGCUUUGUCUAGUGGUCCAUUAUAGCCAACAAUGUCAUGUCCAACCUCUUCUACGAGCUUGUUCCACCGUGCGAUGCCCGGUGCGGCGAAGCCUUCUUGACUCCGUGGCUGUGGCGGCGGCGGCGCCGCGCGGGUACCUAGCGCCACUCAUUACUCUGAUUCGGGUUCCGCGCUCUCGGCUCAGUUCACCGCGAGGUUCCGCGCCCUCAUGUCGCUACCCCGGCUCGGGCCCUCAGCCCGACUCCACGUCGUAUUUACUUCGCGUUGUUCCCAUUUCAAACCUCGUUAGGAUAUGCAAUUAUAACUUGGAGUUCACUAAUUAGCCACUAUGAGCAAUAUGCCAUUAUAAAUAUUAUAAGUUAUUGAUAUUUAAAGCUGUUCGACGGUUUAAAUAAUAUUCAAUGCUAUGCGAUAGCAGGUGUCAAAUGGGAACCGAAAAGAACAAUGGAGAGAAUGAACAAAUAAAUACAAUUUCUACUUGAAAUAUAUGACCAUAUGUUCAUAUUUUGAUACAUUAAGAAUGAGUGAAAAGUGAGUUAUCAGAUGAUAACUAAAGUCGGUAAAUCGUACUAAAUUGUUGUGAUUUGAAGUGUGAACAAUGUCUUAAAAGCAAGUUAGUCCUAUAAAACCGGAGGCGUCAUCAGGUUUUAAAUGGUUCUUUCAGUGCGUCCGUUUUUUUCAAAAACACAGAAGAUUUUUCGGCGAAACGCAGAAUUAUUGAAUCACAGUAAGUACAUAUAUUGAGAUCUUCACCUUUGGACUUACACCUAAAAAGCACGAUGUAAAGGCCCAAAGAAGGUCCAUAUGUCUCAGCAUCAAAUGUGUAUACGUAUGCAUGAUUGAGAGCUUUGCAGCAGACCUGUUACAUAUGGACCGAUAGUUUAACAGAAAUGCACCAAGUUGCAUUUUGGAAAACAUGAGUUGGGCGUAGUUUUAAAUCCAACUAGUC